AAGGAUCCACCAAAUAUUAGACUUCUUUUUGAUAUACAUCAGGAAUAGUCUCAGGUAGACAGUUUAUAUGGGGCGUAGGCCUCCCAAAAGGUAAUGGAGGCAUGCAAAGGUUUCCUUGGGCCGCACGGAGAUUGGCCCUCGAGUGCAAAGGAGCUUGACUGCAAGACCCACACGUCGAGUUGGCACGAAAGUCGACUUGGUGAUCCGACGGUGCUGAGUGGAAGGGACAUCGCUCAACGGAUAAAAGUUACUCUAGGGAUAACAUGCUGAUCUUCCCCAAGAGUUCACAUCGACGGGAAGGUUUGGCACCUCGAUGUCGGCUCUUCGCCACGUGGGGCUGUAGUAUGUUACAAUGGUUGGCUGUUUACCCAUUAAAGCGGUACGUGAGUUGGGUUCAGAACGUCGUGAGAUAGUUCUGUC
Beta vulgaris subsp. vulgaris (sugar beet) is the source of this 420-nucleotide ribosomal RNA. It matches the Rfam family "Bacterial large subunit ribosomal RNA", at positions 2084 to 2636 of the family's 2925-position model. NCBI's taxonomy places the organism in Eukaryota, Viridiplantae, Streptophyta, Magnoliopsida, Caryophyllales, Amaranthaceae. The record is from Rfam.